This 106-nucleotide small nuclear RNA is filed under the name Prolemur simus (greater bamboo lemur). The record is from RNAcentral. Lineage: Eukaryota; Metazoa; Chordata; Mammalia; Primates; Lemuridae.
GUGCUCACUUUGGCAGCACGUAUACUAAAAUUGGAAAGAUACAGAGAUUAGCAUGGCCUUUGCACAAGGAUGACACAAAAAAAUCCAUUAAGAACACUAAACUGUG